This 6717-nucleotide long non-coding RNA is filed under the name Sus scrofa (pig). Its description in RNAcentral is "lncRNA (ENSSSCG00065047693.1)". The record is from RNAcentral. Lineage: Eukaryota; Metazoa; Chordata; Mammalia; Artiodactyla; Suidae.
GAGCUGUUGGCAUAUGCAGGAUUUUUCCCCUAAAUGUUGUCGUUUUCUCCCUGGGCAAACCUCAGCGCCAUCGUCCCCUCUUCUCCACCAAGUACGCCUUCUCUUCUUGACACGGAGCGAAGCUGACCCUCGUAAAGGUUAGACGUCGGAUGUCCGAGGGGCUGAUCCCUUCUGAAGGCUCUGGGGGAGAGCUGAGUUCCUGGCCUUCUCCGGCUUCUAGAGGCUGCUGUGUUCCCCGGCUCUGGGUGCCUCCCUGCAUCUCUAAAGCCUGUGAGGGGCAGCCAGGUAUCUUUUCACGUGGUGUCACCGAGGCGUUGAAUUUGCCCUCUUUUCUCCAGAGGACCCCUGAGGGCACACGGAGCCCAGGCGCAUCUUAAGAUGAGCCCUUGCCGCAUCUUAAGAUCCUGAACUAUGCACGUGGACAGCGUCCCUUCUGCCAGGAUAACACCAAGUAUGGUUCUCAGAAUAAAGCAUUUCUCCAGAGGGGCGAGAACCUCCGUGAAAGCAAAACAAAACCCUCCUCCUUUUCCACGCAAGAGAGAGGAAAAGAGACUCAGUGGAGUGUGUGGAGAAACCACGCCGAGAGAAUUCUGUACCAAGUCCACGUGCGUGCCGGUGGUCAAGAGUCCGAAUUUCCAGAAGGGUGUGGUCGUCAAGAAGUCGUCUGAGAAGCCGUCCAGACAGCGGAAGGAGAGCGUUGCACACGCCGUGGGGAUGGCCCCUUUCUCGGAAGGAGACGUGGGGAGAGGCGAGGGGGGCCCGGAGGUGGCACGUGCUCCCUGCUUCACAUCUUGAGCCACGAGAUGAAACACGGCCGGGUCCGCUGUCGGCAGGACCACGAGGCAGUGGCCCGCUCCCAGGGUGGCCCGCUCCCCGUCCGGGUCGCAAAGACAGUGACAGGAGGUCUUUCUGUCUGUUUUUCCUUCUGCGAAACGACGGCCAGGAGCUACGGGAAGCACAUGGCAGAGCAUCCUUGUCAAAGCCCGAAACGCCCACAGGGAACAAGAAAAAGAAGGAAAGAAACGUGCUUCUCGGCCUGGUUCAUUCAUCGUCACAAACAGACACAGCGUCUGCCUGAGGCCGAGUAUUUGCCGCCGAGUUAAAAACACACGUCCUUGGAUGGGCCACGUCAGCACCGAGGUCUUCCUGCCGCUUGAGGGCAUCUCACGCUGUGGCCAAGCUGGAGAAAAACACCUCCCGAAGCGCGCUGGCGCCUCCCUGACUCGGGACGUGCUGGUUAGCGAAGGUUUCCUGGGCAGAUCCCAGGUCAUGCUGCCGUUCAGAGAGGAAGAGCUGGGCUCACCCCGGUUUUUAGCCGCCCGGAGUUGACAGUCUCAUAGGAGAGACCAGCGAAUUCUCUAAGGGGACCACGGGGAGAGGCUUCCCUUUGCCUGUGAAAUGAAACCCAUCUUCCCACGUGGGCCUGGGUCUGCCCACCUGCUCCUUUGGGUCAGCGGCAGAGCCCGUCCCCCUGGAAUCUCUCUCAGCCUCUACCCGCCCUUAUCAAUGGAUCCCCCUCUUGGGGUGUCAGCUCGAAGGUAACUUUCUCAGGGAGGAUGGGCCCGACCCUGGAAAUCAAGGCGGACACCCGCGCCCAUCCUCCCCCACGCUUCCCACUCAGAGCACUGGUUUUGUAGCUGCUUCACUGUAGGGUCUGCAGCCCCUUGCAUCGUGAUCAGCUCCAGGAGCCAGGAAGGGAAUCUGUUCUAGCACCAUCCUCAUUCCUGGUCCAUCCUAGACGCUCAACAACCAGGCUUCGAUUCAUAAGGAAAUAAAUGCAGUUAAGCAAUCUGUGUGGUGAAAUUAACUGCACAAGGUCAUAAUUCCAUGCCAGCGUCAAGACUGUCAUUUUUGACAAGCACAGAUGGGGAAACUGAGGCUGAGAGAGGUCCAAGGACUUCUGGGUGAUGGUUUACUGAAUAACUGGGUUCUGGGUUAUGCUCUUUCCAUAGCUCCAUAAACAGGUCAGUGACUUAGCGCAGAAUAUCCGGGUACCCGAGACAGGGAGGAGAGACAGUCUGAGAGGCAGGGAGGCCAAGUCAGGGGGAACCAGGCCUGCAUCCAGGUCCUCCUGGAGCAGGACUGGAGAAGAAAGGGAUGGAGUUUUAAAGGGCAGGCUCCGCUGCUGCUCGGAGACCUUCCAAGGUGCCUUGGGCUUCUUCUCUCACCUGUAAGAUGGAUAUGUUGAGAGCGACCAUGAGGGCGGGAUGCUGGGGACAAGCGAGGAAGGCCGCACACUUGGAUCUGAAGUUGGGACCACCCCCAGGGCCACGCGUGGCAUCGUCAGGGUGGACAGGACCCCUGUGGCGUGUCUGUAGUGACCCUCUGAGUUUUCUACGAUAGGACUCAGUACACCCAGGCUCUACCCACCCACGGGGGCAAGGACAAGGGGCACGACUUCAAAUGCCAGGCACGCCCCCUCCCAAGUGUGGUCCCUCCCACGCCCGGGGCCUUCUUUUCAGUUUUCUUGGGAAGCAGUUGACAUUCAUCACAGUAAAGUUUAAGGCCUCCAGCAGCCUCGUGCCUCGCAAAUGUGCAAUGAUGACCACGUGGACUCUGCUAGCAUCCAUCCCUCACAGAGACACAGUGAAAAAAAGGGGAAAAUCCUCCCCAGGAUGAGAACUCUUAGGAUUGAAUCUCCUGACAACGUUCUGCCCGGGAAUUUUUAUUGUAUUAUUUCUGAUUCCAGAUUUACCUCCGGAAACUAAAGUGGCUAAAGACAAGGAGAUUGUCCAUUAUUUGUGCAAGACAAAAUCGCCCUGGGUUCCAAAAUACAGAACCAGGAAUUUCCUGGUGGCCUGGUGGUUAAGGAUCCAGCAUUGUCACUGCGGUGGCUCUGUUCAGUCCCUGGCCUGGGAACUUCUGCAUGCCCAGGGUACGGCCAAAUAAAUAAAUAAGUAAAUAAAUAUAAAAUACUCGAUGCAAACUAUGACAUUUAGACUGGAUACGCAAUGACAUCCUACCGUACAGCACAGGGCUCUAUAUCCAGUCUCUUGGGAUAAACCAUGAUGAAAGAUUAAAAUAAGUCAAAAAAGUAAAAUAAAGAACCUUUGACUGAAGAAGGAGGGGCAUUUGGUAAAGACCAGUUCCUUGGUUGCUUCUAUAAAAACUACUUUUUUGUCUCUAAAAUGGGAACAAGUGUUUCGUGCAAAAUUAUUCGGCUCUCUGGUCAUUGUCACAACUUUAACCCCACGUCAAAGAAGUUGUUGACUAACCGGGUGAGAAAUUGCACAUUUCCUACUGCUUCCGGCUCGCCCACCUGGAAUGUCAUCCUUUCUCUUUGUUGAGACGAAACCAUCUUUCGAAUUCUAAUUCAAGCCUUGCCUCCCAUGCAAGGGUCUUCCCACAAACACCAGGUCCAUGUCCUCCAGCCAACUCAUCUCUAAGCCGUGGCAUCAUGAAGGACCGGGUUUGCCGAGUAAGCGCUGCUCCUGUCUAGACCGCGAGCCCCCUGAGGAUGCUGGACUCUCAAGCUGACCUUCCUACCCUUCAUCCUGGAGCAGCGGGACCCAAGGCGGUGGCUCCUCUGCCGGGUGCAGCUGUUUGCGAGGGUGGCAACCUCACCAGGGGUCCUUCGAGUGAAGACGAACAAGAAAGAAUUCUGUCCCCAGAGGCCACCCCCGAAGUCCUGCAAGCGUCUACUUCAUAAAUAUGGUCGAAAGGAAAAUCCGUCUUGAAAUGACCAGUAUUGGAAAAUAGCGCAUUUCAAGGGCUGUGCUUGGCGGCGUGUCCGCACCUGGACCUCCCCUCCCAUCGAGUCUCCCUGAAAGGGGCGGUGGGGAGGUGCCUGGUGUUGGGAUGCCCCUGCCCUGCUCCCCGAGGUGGGGGCAACACGUUUGAGAAACACACAGCCCUUCCUCGAGGCCGGAUGUCUCAGCACCUGCUUCUUGAUGGAGGCGAAGCAGGUGCCCCCCCCCCAGGGACCCCGCGUUCCCGCAGCUGUCUGUUCUAUAGGUCACGGGGUGCCUGACUUCUGCCCCACGUCACACUGGGUUAUAAUGGUGCCUCUCUCUCCCUCCCACCUUUCCAUUCCCCCCCCCCCCCCCCCCCCUCUCCCNNNNNNCCCCCCCCCCCCCCCCCCGGCCCCGUGAGCUCUCUGAUGGGAGGAAUCACGACGGAUGCAUUUUCCAUGUCCCCUGUUCCAAGGUCACGACAAAGGCUGUUCCAUCCACGCAACCAGAGCCCCUCCAGGACCACACGUGGGCAAAUCGGAAACCCACCCCUGGAUUUUUCUGCUGAAGCUCUCAGUAAAGACUCUCCCUUCCAUGAGCGUCACUGAGCUAGUGGUGAGUUGGACAUGAUUAGCGAUCCUCCAGUCUGCCCACCAUCUGUCUCUCUGUCCCUCCUGGGCGCCAGCAGCUCGUGCAGACGCUAAACGGCCUCUUGACUGGACAGUCUGCUUGCUUGCUUGGGUCUUCCUCGUCUGUUUUCUAUCCAGCCGUCAAAAUCCAGCUCCUAACGUGCAAAUAUGAUCAUUUCAUGCUUCUGCUUAAACACCUUUCGGUGACCUGGGCUAAAGUAGCAGCUCCUCCAGAAGGUCUGUAGGAUGCGUCACAGCCCUGUCCUCGCCCACCUCCGGCCUCCUCGUACCCUCCACGACUGACCGUUCCUUCUUGCUCCAGCCAUGCCAGCUGCCGGCCGAUCCUAGAGGACAGCCUGUGUCCCUCAGAGACAGAAGCUCCUCGCCCGGCCUGUGGGCUCUCGGCUGCGUGUCCCCGUUUGAACACUUCUGUCCCGUCGCCUUGCAGCCUAAGUUUCCUGUGGAUGCGUCUGGCUGAGGCAGGCAGUCCUGCUCAGCUCACACCGCACGGACAACCCCAAGCCCAAGCCCAGGCGCCCCGGCGGUGGCCACGGGUGACUCUAGUGGGACACGGGAGCACUCAUGUCACUGUUCAGGCAGGAAAGGCCAUUCCACUCUGCAAUUAUCCAGGGACGCCAGGGGACAUUGGGACUUGGAGGCAGAGGCAGGGGGCAGCCCAGCCUCAGGGGGCAGGAGAAGUGUUCUUGGAUCUGGGUCCACGAGAAGUGUCCGUGCAGGGGUGGGGUGGCCGUUGGACAGCAGGGGGUGUGGACGUGAGACGGAGGGCAGACGAAAGGACAGGGGAGUCGAAGGAAGAGACGAGGGGAAACCACGUGGGGGCUCAGAAGCGUGUUUAGGACUUUCACGAGUGGCGGUCCCCAAGCUCGGGCCAGGGGUCAAAUCCCACAGGCAGGGGCCCAGCCGCGGCGGUGACACACGGCAGGCCCCGAGGGAAGGUUAGGGACAGCGUGGACAGCAGGACAGAGGGGACCGCCCUGGAGAGAGGCGCGUUCCCAGCUGGGCAGGAACAGGGGCAGCAAUGGGAUGGAGGCAGAAACCACCGGGGAGAAGAGAAAACAACCAGUCCACCAGCUCGUUUAUCCGCGGAUUCGGGGAGCGGGCCGCCUGUGGAGCGCUAUCAGGAUGUGGGGGGAACGGCUGAGAAAUGGGGAAACAUUUGGUCUCUGUGUCGCCACAGUGCAGGCUCCGCCUGGCAAGAAUCCAUCCUUGUUCCUGGUUCGGGGUGUGUGUGUGUGUGUGUGUGUGUGUGUGUGUGUGUGUGUGUGUGUGUGUGAGGCAAAUUCUCAAGGGCCGCCUCCACGUAAGACAAACCCCACGACACGGUCCCGCCGUGCAGCCUGGGAGAUUAUAUCCAAUAUCUUGUAAUAAUGGGAAGGAAUCUGAAGACAAGCGUGUGUGUAGGUACAACUGCGUCACUUCGCUGGGCACCUGAAAGGGACAACACAUGGUAAAUUAACUAUACUUCAAUUUAAAAAAAAAAAAAGACCCCACCAUGUACCUGAAAGCUUCCAAAAGAGUUUUUAAAACAUGCUUUUUUUUAAGAAAAACAAGGAUUAUAUGUGUGUGUUGUAACCAGGGCUUUGUGUGAAAAAUCUCCCCAGUUUCCACCGCUCCCCACCCAAAACGGGAAAAGUUAUUAUUUGGUGGAAAGGCUGGGUCAUCUUCAAGUACAAGGAUGUUGCUUGAAAGCCUUGAUGCAAAAAAACCUGAAACGAGCCGGUCACACUCACAACUGCCGUCCCUAAGCUGAGAGAUUUUUCUUUCGUAAGAUAUGUGAGUUGCACCUCAGGAAAAAUAAAUAUAUACGAGUUCCUGUUGUGGCUCAGUGGCUUAAGAACCCAACAGUCUCCACGAGGAUGCAGGUUGGAUCCCCGGCCUCGCUCAGUGGGUUAAGGAUCUACUAUUGCUGUGGUUGUGGUGUAGGCUGGCAGCUGCAGCUCCGAUUUGACUGCUAGCCUGGGAACUUCCAUAUGCUGCCAGUGCAGCCCUUAAAAAGAAAAACAAAAUUUAAAUAUAGAUAUUACAUACAUAUAUAAAUAUUAAAUACAUGCAUUUUAAAUAUGUAUAUAAUAUAUAUCCCCUACCAGAGUAAAUUGUCAGAGAAAAAUCCAGAAAUCUAUGUUAAGCAAACAUGUAGGUUCAGUUGGAUCAGAUCGUAGGAAUUGUCACUAAAACUGCAUCUGAGGGUCGUUUUAAACACCACCCUCUGUGUGCACAGAACAGACCUCAGGGUGGCAGAUUCAUAUGUACGUUUCUGGACCUUUGACCUAAGGUUUUUAAAGAACUUUGUAAGUUUAUAUUGCAUGUGUAGGGUUUUAAAGCAGCGGCUAUGACUGCUUUUGACUUCAAACCCUUUUUACCAGCUCUAUAAACAGAGGGUAGUGAUGUUUUCAAAA